GGCCCAUUAGUCUAGGGGUGAGGACGUUGGAUUUUGAUUACGUAAUCAAAAUAGCUUCCAAAGACGCCAGUUCGAAUCUGGCAUGGGCCU
Molecule: transfer RNA, 90 nt
Filed under: Purpureocillium lilacinum
Lineage: Eukaryota; Fungi; Ascomycota; Sordariomycetes; Hypocreales; Ophiocordycipitaceae
Description: tRNA-Gln
Rfam family: tRNA
About the family: Transfer RNA (tRNA) molecules are approximately 80 nucleotides in length. Their secondary structure includes four short double-helical elements and three loops (D, anti-codon, and T loops).
Source: RNAcentral